This 1577-nucleotide unclassified non-coding RNA is filed under the name Hevea brasiliensis (rubber tree). Lineage: Eukaryota; Viridiplantae; Streptophyta; Magnoliopsida; Malpighiales; Euphorbiaceae. The record is from RNAcentral.
AGACUUGGAUUCCUCUUCUUAUCUUCUUCUUCGCCAGUAGUUGGAUCCUCCAUUUCUCGGUCCAUCGCACGGCCUGCACCCUCACUCCUGCUCCAUCAUCCCUUUCACUUCAUCCCAAAUCGUACAACCACUAACAGCAACCCAUUCCAAUUUUCACCACGUUCAACUCUCACUGCAUCAGCUUCUUCCAUGGCUUCCACUUUCAAGCCCGAACAAGCUAGGGUUCCUCCUGCUCUCCAAUUGCCCUCUCCUCCUAUCACUAAGUUUAAGAUUGGCCUAUGCCAAUUAUCGGUGACGGCAGAUAAGGAAAGGAAUAUUGCUCAUGCGCGAGCAGCAAUUGAGGAGGCUGCUGAGAAGGGGGCUAAGCUUGUUGUUUUGCCUGAAAUAUGGAAUAGUCCAUAUUCAAAUGAUAGCUUCCCAAUUUAUGCUGAAGACAUUGAUGCUGGUCCUGAUGCAUCACCGUCAACUGCCAUGCUCUCUGAAGCAGCUCGACUUCUGAAGAUUACUAUAGUGGGAGGCUCUAUACCUGAACACAGUGGGGACAAGCUGUAUAAUACUUGCUGCGUCUUUGAUGCUGACGGAAAGUUGAAAGCUAAGCACAGAAAGAUACAUCUUUUUGACAUUGAUAUCCCUGGUAAAAUAACCUUUAAGGAAUCACAGACGCUUACUGCAGGAGAGACUCCAACUGUUGUGGAUACAGAGGUUGGCCGAAUUGGUAUAGGGAUCUGCUAUGACAUUCGCUUUCAGGAGUUGGCCAUGCUAUAUGCAGCAAGAGGGGCUCACCUGAUCUGCUAUCCUGGGGCGUUCAACAUGACUACUGGACCACUGCACUGGGAGUUACUGCAAAGGGCAAGGGCAGUUGAUAAUCAGCUAUAUGUUGCAACAUGUGCACCUGCUCGAGACGUUGAUGGUGGAUAUGUGGCUUGGGGGCAUUCCACACUAAUUGGACCAUUCGGAGAAGUGCUGGCUACAACUGAACAUGACGAGGCAAUAAUCAUCUCGGAGAUCGACUAUUCGCAAAUUGAACUGAGGAGGACAAACCUUCCAUUAGAGAAGCAAAGACGAGGUGAUCUUUACCAGUUGGUAGAUGUACAGAGGUCGAGUUCUCAGUAAGGCUAGUUUGUGAAAUAAGGCGUCUUAUGUUAGUAUAUAAGUGGAGUUCCCAGAACUGAAGGUCCAUUCACCAGAAACUGGGAUCAGAUCUAGAAAAUAAGAGGAUUGUCCAUUCUUCUGUAGUGGUUGAUGUUGAGCCUUCUAUUCAAUCAUCCUUAAUUUAGUCACCAAGUUUGGGUUUGCAAAUGACAAUAUAACCUUGUGCAGAAGGUGGAUUUAGUAACCUGCUGCAACUGUUCAUGUAUUAUCUAUUACUGUGGUGAUUGUUCUGUUUUGGUCUGAUAUCAACAUCAAUCUCCCUGAAAAGAGCCACAUGGUGAGUCAUUUUAUAAACAGGAAGUUAAGAUGAAAAGGAAACUUGUUCCUGAACUUGGAACAGUUAGUAAUCUCCAGGAGACGUGUGUAUUCAGGAGAUGUAAUAAUGUUAUUGUUCUUUAGACAUCAGUGACCCUACAUUGCUGGAA